Molecule: ribosomal RNA, 452 nt
Filed under: uncultured bacterium
Lineage: Bacteria
Description: bacterial SSU rRNA
Rfam family: Bacterial small subunit ribosomal RNA
Source: RNAcentral
AGCGAACGCUGGCGGCAGGCCUAACACAUGCAAGUCGAGCGCCAUAGCAAUAUGGAGCGGCAGACGGGAGAGUAACACGUGGGAACGUACCUUCUGGUUCGGAACAACCCAGGGAAACUUGGGCUAAUACCGGAUAAGUCCGCAAGGAGAAAGAUUUAUCGCCAGAAGAUCGGCCCGCGUCUGAUUAGCUUGUUGGUGAGGUAACGGCUCACCAAGGCGACGAUCAGUAGCUGGUCUGAGAGGAUGAUCAGCCUCACUGGGACUGAGACACGGCCCAGACUCCUACGGGAGGCAGCAGUGGGGAAUAUUGGACAAUGGGCGCAAGCCUGAUCCAGCCAUGCCGCGUGGGUGAUGAAGGCCUUAGGGUUGUAAAGCCCUUUCGACGGGGAAGAUAAUGACGGUACCCGUAGAAGAAGCCCCGGCUAACUUCGUGCCAGCCGCCGCGGUAACAC